Small nucleolar RNA from Otolemur garnettii (small-eared galago), 135 nucleotides. Its record names the gene SNORA70. It matches the Rfam family "Small nucleolar RNA SNORA70". Rfam says of the family: snoRNA U70 seems to be exclusive to mammals and is a member of the H/ACA class of snoRNA which contain H (ANANNA) and ACA box motifs. H/ACA box snoRNAs are involved in the conversion of uridines to pseudouridines (5-ribosyluracil) a constituent of structural RNAs (transfer, ribosomal, small nuclear, and small nucleolar). NCBI's taxonomy places the organism in Eukaryota, Metazoa, Chordata, Mammalia, Primates, Galagidae. The record is from Ensembl.
CUGCAGCUAACUAAACCGACCACGUUCCUUUCCUCAUGGGGGCCUGGUCUGCAGUGGCUGCAAACAGCAGCCUCCUCAGUAGUGUAUGCAGCUUGUUGCUUGUAUGGAUUGCUCUAAGGCAGUGGUUCUUAACCU